RNAcentral lists this ribosomal RNA (468 nucleotides) under uncultured bacterium. RNAcentral describes it as "partial 16S ribosomal RNA". It matches the Rfam family "Bacterial small subunit ribosomal RNA", at positions 28 to 507 of the family's 1533-position model. The record is from RNAcentral.
GACGAACGCUGGCGGCGUGCUUAACACAUGCAAGUCGAACGGAAAGGCCCUGCUUUUGUGGGGUGCUCGAGUGGCGAACGGGUGAGUAACACGUGAGUAACCUGCCCUUGACUUUGGGAUAACUUCAGGAAACUGGGGCUAAUACCGGAUAGGAGCUCCUGCUGCAUGGUGGGGGUUGGAAAGUUUCGGCGGUUGGGGAUGGACUCGCGGCUUAUCAGCUUGUUGGUGGGGUAGUGGCUUACCAAGGCUUUGACGGGUAGCCGGCCUGAGAGGGUGACCGGCCACAUUGGGACUGAGAUACGGCCCAGACUCCUACGGGAGGCAGCAGUGGGGAAUAUUGCACAAUGGGCGGAAGCCUGAUGCAGCAACGCAGCGUGCGGGAUGACGGCCUUCGGGCUGUAAACCGCUUUCGCCUGUGACGAAGCGUGAGUGACGGUAAUGGGUAAAGAAGCACCGGCUAACUACGUG